Long non-coding RNA from Bos taurus (domestic cattle), 695 nucleotides. Lineage: Eukaryota; Metazoa; Chordata; Mammalia; Artiodactyla; Bovidae. The record is from Ensembl.
GGGAGACCACUAUCUCCCCCACAAAUUCAUCAAAAAAUCAUUUGAAUGCUGAGCAACUUCCACAGAACAACUUCUGAAUGUUGGCGGAGGACACCAGGCACCCAGAAGGGUAGCCCAUUCUCUUCAAAAGGAGCAGACUCUCUCUCUAUUGCCUGCUCAGUUUGCAUGGAUUCAUGAAGCAAGUUGACUCCUUGGAAAGAUCCACGAGCAAGGAACUGAGAAUUCCCUCUGGCCAACUACCAGUGAGAAACUGAGGCCCUCAGUCCAAGAGCUUGCAAAGAAGAGAAUCCUGCCACCAACCACAUGAACUUGGAAGUGGAUAUUUCCCCAGUUAAACCUUGAGAUGACUACAUCCCAGCUGACCGAGGAAUUACAACGGGGCUGUCUGGUGACUUUAGAGAUGACUUGAAUCACUGUGAGUGCUUUAAGUGGAGAACAAGCGAGAGAAUGCCAAGAGGGAAGCCACAACCUUUAUAUAAUCUAAUCUCAGAAGUGACUCUCCAUCACCUCUGCCUCAUUCUUUUUGUUGGAAGCACAUCUACCCCAACACAUUCAAGGACAUGAAUCAACAGGAAGCAGGUAUCACUGAGGUCCAUGGAGCUUGCUGGCCCCAGAUGGCAAUGUCAGUUUCUUGACCGUGGUGGAGAUUAUGUAAUUGCUUUAUGGUUAUUCAUUGGACUGUAUGUGUUCUGCAC